UACAGAGGUCUCAACCGUUGUUCGGAUUCAUUGGGCGUAAAGGGUGCGUAGGCGGUCGCGCAAGUCGGAUGUGAAAUCUUAGGGCUCAACCCUGAAACUGCAUUCGAUACUGCGUGGCUCGAGUACUGGAGAGGAGACUGGAAUUUACGGUGUAGCAGUGAAAUGCGUAGAUAUCAGGAGGAACACCAGUGGCGAAGGCGACGCUCUGGGCCGAGACUGACGCUGAGGAGCGAAAGCGUGGGUAGCAAACAGG
This 253-nucleotide ribosomal RNA is filed under the name uncultured bacterium. RNAcentral describes it as "partial 16S ribosomal RNA". It matches the Rfam family "Bacterial small subunit ribosomal RNA", at positions 524 to 776 of the family's 1533-position model. The record is from RNAcentral.